ACAGGGAUUACCUCAGUAACGGCGAGUGAAGCGGUAACAGCUCAAAUUUGAAAUCUGGCUUCGGUCCGAGUUGUAAUUUGUAGAAGAUGCUUCGGGUGUGGCUCCGGUCUAAGUUCCUUGGAACAGGACGUCAUAGAGGGUGAGAAUCCCGUAUGUGACUGGCUGCCUCCCCUAUGUGAAGCUCUUUCGACGAGUCGAGUUGUUUGGGAAUGCAGCUCAAAAUGGGUGGUAUAUUUCAUCUAAAGCUAAAUAUUGGCCAGAGACCGAUAGCGCACAAGUAGAGUGAUCGAAAGAUGAAAAGCACUUUGGAAAGAGAGUUAAACAGUACGUGAAAUUGUUGAAAGGGAAGCGCUUGCAAUCAGACUUGCACGUUGCCGAUCAUCCGGUGUUCUCACCGGUGCACUCGGUUGCGUUCAGGCCAGCAUCGGUUUGGGUGGUUGGAUAAAGGCCUUGGGAAUGUAGCUUCUUUCGGGGAGUGUUAUAGCCCUCGGUGCAAUGCAGCCUACCCGGACCGAGGACCGCGCUUCGGCUAGGAUGCUGGCGUAAUGGUUGUAAGCGACCCGUCUUGAAACACGGACCAAGGAGUCUAACAUCUAUGCGAGUAUUUGGGUGUUAAACCCAUAUGCGUAAUUAACGUGAACGGAGGUAAGAACCCUUAAGGGUGCAUUAUCGACCGGUCCUGAUGUCUUCGGAUGGAUCUGAGUAAGAGCAUAGCUGUUGGGACCCGAAAGAUGGUGAACUAUGCCUGAAUAGGGUGAAGCCAGAGGAAACUCUGGUGGAGGCUCGCAGCGGUUCUGACGUGCAAAUCGAUCGUCAAAUUUGGGUAUAGGGGCGAAAGACUAAUCGA
Molecule: ribosomal RNA, 847 nt
Filed under: Nagrajchalara acuaria
Lineage: Eukaryota; Fungi; Ascomycota; Leotiomycetes; Helotiales
Description: eukaryotic LSU rRNA
Rfam family: Eukaryotic large subunit ribosomal RNA
Source: RNAcentral